This 302-nucleotide ribosomal RNA is filed under the name uncultured bacterium. RNAcentral describes it as "partial 16S ribosomal RNA". It matches the Rfam family "Bacterial small subunit ribosomal RNA", at positions 508 to 807 of the family's 1533-position model. The record is from RNAcentral.
GCAGUAGCCGCGGGAAUACGAAGGGUGCAAGCGUUAAUCGGAAUUACUGGGCGUAAAGCGCGCGUAGGUGGUUCAUUAAGUUGGAUGUGAAAGCCCUGGGCUCAACCUGGGAACUGCAUCCAAAACUGGUGAGCUAGAGUACGGUAGAGGGUAGUGGAAUUUCCUGUGUAGCGGUGAAAUGCGUAGAUAUAGGAAGGAACACCAGUGGCGAAGGCGACUACCUGGACUGAUACUGACACUGAGGUGCGAAAGCGUGGGGAGCAAACAGGAUUAGAUACCCGCGUAGUCCCUGUCUCUUAUAC